CAUCCCACAGGUAGUGCAGCUGAGUCACCUCACUGCUUGGCGAUUCCCUAUGUUGAUUUUGAAGGCCAAGCAGAGGGGCUAUGGGUCAGCGGAAUCCGUCACACAGCAGCCAGUGAUGUGCCUUAGGCCUUCCUGAAGCUGUGGCAGCUGUUUCAUUUGUUUCCUGCUCUGUGUAUAUCAGGAAGGAGAUUAAGGACACCAUCUCCAACAGAUGUUCCAGCAGAGAGUAGCUUCGCCUGUCAAGACCGCCCCAAUGGUACCCUUGGAUGGAUGAUGUCUGGCAAGCAGAGGGGCUAUGGGUCUGCGGAAUCCGUC
Molecule: long non-coding RNA, 315 nt
Organism: Pseudophryne corroboree (corroboree frog)
Lineage: Eukaryota; Metazoa; Chordata; Amphibia; Anura; Myobatrachidae
Exons: 3
Source: RefSeq, a predicted model, not a curated record